Molecule: ribosomal RNA, 586 nt
Filed under: uncultured bacterium
Lineage: Bacteria
Description: bacterial SSU rRNA
Rfam family: Bacterial small subunit ribosomal RNA
Source: RNAcentral
CCUACGGGAGGCAGCAGUGGGGAAUUUUGGACAAUGGGCGCAAGCCUGAUCCAGCAAUGCCGCGUGCAGGAUGAAGGCCUUCGGGUUGUAAACUGCUUUUGUACGGAACGAAACGGUGGGCUCUAAUAAAGUUUGCUAAUGACGGUACCGUAAGAAUAAGCACCGGCUAACUACGUGCCAGCAGCCGCGGUAAUACGUAGGGUGCGAGCGUUAAUCGGAAUUACUGGGCGUAAAGCGUGCGCAGGCGGUUAUAUAAGACAGAUGUGAAAUCCCCGGGCUCAACCUGGGACCUGCAUUUGUGACUGUAUAGCUAGAGUACGGUAGAGGGGGAUGGAAUUCCGCGUGUAGCAGUGAAAUGCGUAGAUAUGCGGAGGAACACCGAUGGCGAAGGCAAUCCCCUGGACCUGUACUGACGCUCAUGCACGAAAGCGUGGGGAGCAAACAGGAUUAGAUACCCUGGUAGUCCACGCCCUAAACGAUGUCAACUGGUUGUUGGGUCUUCACUGACUCAGUAACGAAGCUAACGCGUGAAGUUGACCGCCUGGGGAAGUACGGCCGCAAGGUUGAAACUUAAAGGAAUUGACGG